CACUUAACCAACUGAGCCACCCAGGCCCCCCACAGUAGGUUCAGCUAACACAUUCAUCACCUCACUGGAUGGCUCUUUCUGCAGCGUUAGCAAAAUUAGUUUGGUUCAUGCAGGGCGAAUUGGGUCAGGACAGGUCAAAAUUGGGACAGAAGUAAUUACCAACCUCAGCUAUUUCAUUUUUGUGAGCUCGUCCCACAACUCUUUAAUGAGAAGACUGGUUGGGGUGGUCAGGAUAGACAGGUAAUAUGCCAUUUGCUUUAUCUGGCUUGGUGGACAUACUCAGUUUAGCUGUGCGCUGAAAUUAUACUGAGAAGCUUUGAAGAAACACUGAUGCCUGAGAUUAUUCCACCUCUUAGGACUCUGAUAUAGUUGAUCGGGGGUGUGAUUAGGUUAUGGAAAAAAGAAUUUAAGCUACUCUUAGGAUUCUAAUUUUCAGCUAGGGUUGAAAACCACUGGACUGGGAUCAUUCUAGCGACCAUUUUGUUGGCGUAGGGCUACCAUAUUGGUAAAAUAGCCAGACCUCCAUUAUAUAUGAAGAGAGAAGGUGAGCUAGUCCCAUUGGUGAGGAGUCCAUGGCCUUGGGACAGUGGGCAUGGUGACUGUGAUCGGAAGCUAGGGUUGUUGGUAUAUUCGAGGCUGUAUACUGAUUACCCUAAGUGAAUCAUGCUUGUUAUGUUGGCUUAUGUGUGGAGAAAAAUGAAAGGGCACAUUAUUAACACUCUUUUCCUCAGGGCAGGUAUGAUAGUAGUAAAACUGGACAGGAAGAGGAUAGAAUUAACUUUUAAAACUGAGAAUUCAUUGUGAAGCAGAGGACUGAAGAGGUGGUCAAAUUUAACAAGACGAUCCUGAAGCCAAUGGAAUUCUGUUCCUCAGUCAUGGGGUCUAACGGCCUUGAAGCAACACCUCUACCUUGAUGCCUAUUAUGUAGCUCCCCAGCGAUUCUGGAAAAUAUUUGACAUGAAUGGAUAUUUUUGGCUAUCUUGAGGACCAGAAAAAUGUGAUGUUUCUAUACGUGAUUUUCUUCCAUUCUCUGCCUAGAGUAUGGAGGUAGAGAAACUUCUCUUCACGUUCAGGUUCACAGUUAGAGGUGAGAGUGCCGUGUGUCCUUUCGGUUGCUCAGCCAGCUGUAAGACACGGCGAGAGGUGUAAUACUAGAAAUAGGGAAUGAGUGCUAUAUGUGGAAAUACUGAAGAAGGAGUGGUAACGUCGCUUUGGGUCUAUUUACCCAAAAGCCGCUCUAUGUUUUCUUCAUGUUCUAAUUACCUUCUUUGGGUUAGGAUGCAUGUUCUACUUGUAUACUCAAUUGUAAUUUUAUUUAUGGACAGAAGUCAAAUCUGUGUAAAUAAUAAAAUACGCUGUAGCUGAU
This is a long non-coding RNA of Leopardus geoffroyi (Geoffroy's cat), 1366 nucleotides long. RefSeq lists it as uncharacterized. The record is from RefSeq and is a predicted model, not a curated record. The transcript has 2 exons. NCBI's taxonomy places the organism in Eukaryota, Metazoa, Chordata, Mammalia, Carnivora, Felidae.